Molecule: unclassified non-coding RNA, 635 nt
Filed under: Hevea brasiliensis (rubber tree)
Lineage: Eukaryota; Viridiplantae; Streptophyta; Magnoliopsida; Malpighiales; Euphorbiaceae
Source: RNAcentral
CAUUUGGCCAAUUCUCAAAUUUUUCUUCAAUUUUUCACAUGUUCAAAACCCUAGCUACACUGAAAGUUCAACCUAAUGCAAUUUAAAGUGUGUAUUUAUGUUCUACACACCUAUUUUACCUCAAAUAACCAUUCAAAACCAUCAAACUCAUUCAUAAUAAACCCUAACCCUAGCUGGACGAAUUUCAUGUUUGGUCCUCCAAAUUAUUUUCUUUUGAUUUUAAGUUAAACUCUAAGUUUACUUAAAUUAGAACAUAAACAUUUAACUGCAACUUCCAAGUUUAGAUGACUAACCUCAACUUUGACGUUCAACCUUCAAUUUUUUUCUUCUUUUCUUCUUUCUUUCUUGAUCAAUCGUCUUCUCAAGUUGGUCUAACAAGUUUUAAUGGGGAAUUUGGAGACAAAGUGGGGUUAGGUGGUUGGAAGAAGCUUGGUUUCAAGCUUUAAUGGAGUUUUCUCCAAUGGUGAAGUGAGGGAGAGAAGGGUGGCCGAAAUUUUGGAGAAGGAGAUCUGAUUUUUUUUUUCUUUUUAAUGUAUUUUUAAGUCUUUAAAAUUGCUUUUGACUUGGUCUAAUUUUGUGGGAAAAUUUUAAUUUAAUUUAUGACAUCAUAAUGGUGAGCUAAGGUGAUGUAAAUA